This 485-nucleotide long non-coding RNA is filed under the name Cryptosporidium parvum. The record is from RNAcentral. Lineage: Eukaryota; Apicomplexa; Conoidasida; Eucoccidiorida; Cryptosporidiidae.
GAGUUAUAUAUAUAUAUAUAUAAAUAAUCAAUUUAAUUAACUUUGAAGGAGUGAAGAAGAACUUUUUUUUAAAUCUAGUUAAAUUGAAGGAUUUUGUCAUGCAAAAAUGGUGAGAAAAAAAAAUCAUCAUCUAAAAAAAGAAAUUUUGGGUUGUAUAUAUAUUUAUAUAAUAUUAAGUUCAAGAAUAAGAUUAAAUAAUAUAAUGAUUGAAAGAAAAAUAUGGAAAGUAAUAUGUAGAAAAUAAAUCAACAAAAAAAUGAGCUUUGAAACUAAUAAUUAUUGUUAUUAUUACUGAAUAAUAGAUAUCAGAAUUUUUUAAAAAAUUAACAAAUGUUUUUAAAUGGUUUACAAUAAUUUAAAAAAUUAAUAGAAUGAUUAAAUAAUUAAAGGGAAUAAGAAAUUGAAAAAAAAUUUGCAUGUAUUUGCAUGCAUGCAAAUAUAAAUGAAAUUACGUAUUGAAAUAAUAAUUUAAAAAAAAAAAAAAA